Molecule: ribosomal RNA, 200 nt
Filed under: uncultured eukaryote
Lineage: Eukaryota
Description: partial 18S ribosomal RNA
Rfam family: Eukaryotic small subunit ribosomal RNA
Source: RNAcentral
CUCCAAUAGCGUAUAUUAAAGUUGUUGCAGUUAAAAAGCUCGUAGUUGGAUUUCUGGGGGGCGCGUUGGGUCCGCCGGCAACGGGUGCGCACUUUUGACGUCCGUCUCCAUCCUCGCGAAGAGCGGCCUCGGCAUUAACUUGUCGCGGGCCGGGACUCGCGUCGUUUACUGUGAACAAAUUAGAGUGUUUAAAGCAGGCG